RNAcentral lists this ribosomal RNA (870 nucleotides) under uncultured archaeon. RNAcentral's name for it is "bacterial SSU rRNA". It matches the Rfam family "Archaeal small subunit ribosomal RNA", at positions 1 to 878 of the family's 1478-position model. The record is from RNAcentral.
CUCCCGGUUGAUCCCGCCGGACCCUGACUGCUAUCGGAUUGGUACUAAGGCAUGCGUGUCGUUGUAGCAAUACAAGGCGGACGGCUCAGUAACACGUAGUCAACCUAACCUAUGGACGUGGAUAACCUCAGGAAACUGAGAAUAAACCGCGAUAGAUCAUUAUGCCUGGAAUGGCUUAUGGUUCAAACAAUUUAUUGCCGUAGGAUGGGACUGCGGCCUAUCAGCUUGUUGGUGAGGUAAUGGCCCACCAAGGCUAUAACAGGUACGGGCUCUGAGAGGAGAAGCCCGGAGAUGGGUACUGAGACACGGACCCAGGCCCUAUGGGGCGCAGCAGGCGAGAAACCUUAGCAAUGUGCGAAAGCACGACUAGGUUAAUCCGAGUGAUUUCUGUUGAAGAAAUCUUUUGUCAGUCGUAAAACCACAGACGAAUAAGGGGUGGGCAAGUCUGGUGUCAGCCGCCGCGGUAAUACCAGCACCUCGAGUGGUCAGGAGGUUUAUUGGGCCUAAAGCAUCCGUAGCCGGCUACGCAAGUCUCCGGUUAAAUCCAGCUGCUCAACAGAUGGGCUGCCGGAGAUACUACAUAGCUAGGGAGCGGGAGAGGUAGACGGUAUUCUGUGGGUAGGGGUAAAAUCCACUGAUCCAUAGAGGACCACCAGUGGCGAAGGCGGUCUACCAGAACGCGUUCGACGGUGAGGGAUGAAAGCUGGGGGAGCAAACCGGAUUAGAUACCCGGGUAGUCCCAGCUGUAAACGAUGCAAACUCGGUGAUGCAUUGGCUUAUGGCCAAUGCAGUGCCGCAGGGAAGCCGUUAAGUUUGCCGCCUGGGAAGUACGGACGCAAGUCUGAAACUUAAAGGAUUGGCGGGGGAGCA